AGGUAAUAGAUACCCCGGUAGUCCACGCCGUAAACGAUGAAUACUAGGUGUAGGGGUUGUCAUGACCUCUGUGCCGCCGCUAAACGCAUUAAGUAUUCCGCCUGGGGAGUACGGUCGCAAGAUUAAAACUCAAAGGAAUUGACGGGGGCCCGCACAAGCAGCGGAGCAUGUGGUUUAAAUUCGAAGCAACGCGAAGAACCUUACCUAGACUUGACAUCUCCUGAAUUACUCUGUAAUGGAGGAAGCCACUUCGGUGGCAGGAAGACAGGUGGUGCAUGGUUGUCGCCAGCUCGUGUCGUGAGAUGUUGGGUUAAGUCCCGCAACGAGCGCAACCCUUAUUGUUAGUUGUUACCAUUUAGUUGAGCACUCUAGCGAGACUGCCCGGGUUAACCGGGAGGAAGGUGGGGAUGACGUCAAAUCAUCAUGCCCCUUAUGUCUAGGGCUACACACGUGCUACAAUGGUCGGUACAAUGAGAUGCAACCUCGCGAGAGUGAGCAAAACCUAUAAAACCGAUCUCAGUUCGGAUUGUAGGCUGAAACUC
Molecule: ribosomal RNA, 542 nt
Filed under: uncultured bacterium
Lineage: Bacteria
Description: bacterial SSU rRNA
Rfam family: Bacterial small subunit ribosomal RNA
Source: RNAcentral